GUGAAUUAAAAAUUUUGUUCAGACAAACUUGAAAGUUGUAUAAACUUACUGCUGAAUAUACUGACUCUUUCCUAGGAAAACAUGGGAACAUAGGAUGGCAUGUGGCAAGGUCACAGGACCACAGGAUCACGAGGUUGGAAGAGACCUUCAGGAUCAUUGAGUCCAGCUCAGGGUGGUUGUGAGCAGGGUCUGCAGAGGCGGCCAAGACUCUGUGUGCCUUGAGAAACAAGAGGAAUCUGCCUUUUAUCCCCUCCUGCCCAGACUGACAGCAAAAUGAAAGCUGCAGCAAGGUUUGUCUAAGAGCUGUAACCUCUCAGCAACUCUACUGUUAUUUCUGAUGGUGAGAAACACUUGAAUUUGAACCAAGUCAGUCUUUUGACAGAGAAUGGGAGAAACCAUUUGAAUAAAGAAAAUAUUCUUGUGCCAGCCCUUCCCUUGAAGUAACACCAAAGUUCUCUGGAGUGUUUUGGCUCCUGCCAUCACUCACUCGCCCUUUCCACAGGUUUGAAACUACUUUUUUCUCACAGUUGUAAUCCAUAUAAUCCUACUAUGUGAACUUAGAUAAGAAUUAAAUUAGCAGCAGAGUAUUGAAAGUGGAAAAUUGGCUUGUAGAAUUCUACACAGAGACUGCUCACUUCAGGGUCAGUAGCAGGUUUAUUGCAAGGCAGUCAGCACAGAGGGGUCAGGGAUAUUAAUUGUAAAGUCUCCAUUUUCUCAAUGAGCCUGGUUUUUCCCCUUGUAUUAAAUUGAGAAAACCGUGGAACACUACUCAGUAUCUACCUUUCAACUUCAUUGAGUAAAUAUUGGAAUGCUU
This 814-nucleotide long non-coding RNA is filed under the name Ficedula albicollis (Collared flycatcher). RNAcentral's name for it is "lncRNA (ENSFALG00000023935.1)". The record is from RNAcentral. Lineage: Eukaryota; Metazoa; Chordata; Aves; Passeriformes; Muscicapidae.